Molecule: transfer RNA, 39 nt
Filed under: Varanus niloticus (Nile monitor)
Lineage: Eukaryota; Metazoa; Chordata; Lepidosauria; Squamata; Varanidae
Description: partial tRNA-Leu
Source: RNAcentral
GCUUUUAAAGGAUAAUAGACAUCCGCUGACCUUAGGAGC